AAACUUUAUGUAUUCUCAGGAAUAUUAUUACUUUUGAGGCUAGAAAUGUAUGCAUCCGCAUCUUUGCCUACCAUGUUUAAUUUAAAGAUACUGUAGCUCAAUCAUCAGACCUUUGCUGUAAAAUCUGAUUCAGUACAUUUCCCAAAGGUGACAUGAUGUCAUGGGAUUUUAUGGACCCAAGGCUGACCCAGAAAUUAUGGAAAUUCAGCAAAGUUAACCAUAUAUUUUAAAUGCAUUGGUGCUUAUUACAGGAAGCCUACCUGUCUGUCCAUCCAUCAUCUUGCCUUCUAUCAGCCUUGUGAGAUCUAUAUGUAUGUUUUUCAUAAUUCUAAUUUUCUAAGCCUUUUAAAAUAUAAAUUGAACUUUGCAAAUUGUAGCUCUCAAACAUGGGAACUUCCCCCCCCCCUCAACUGAAAAACCUUUACUUUACUAAGUUCCAACACUGCUACUAAAAAUUGCUAAUAUUCAAAUAUAGGAUUUUAGAAAGACUAA
Molecule: long non-coding RNA, 492 nt
Organism: Thamnophis elegans (Western terrestrial garter snake)
Lineage: Eukaryota; Metazoa; Chordata; Lepidosauria; Squamata; Natricidae
Exons: 2
Source: RefSeq, a predicted model, not a curated record